AUCCAGUUGAUGAGUCCGAAAUAGGACAAAACGUACGUCCUGGAU
RNAcentral lists this non-coding RNA (45 nucleotides) under Schistosoma mansoni. Lineage: Eukaryota; Metazoa; Platyhelminthes; Trematoda; Strigeidida; Schistosomatidae. The record is from RNAcentral.